RNAcentral lists this ribosomal RNA (239 nucleotides) under Mycobacterium tuberculosis. Its description in RNAcentral is "partial 23S ribosomal RNA". It matches the Rfam family "Bacterial large subunit ribosomal RNA", at positions 663 to 901 of the family's 2925-position model. The record is from RNAcentral. Lineage: Bacteria; Bacillati; Actinomycetota; Actinomycetes; Mycobacteriales; Mycobacteriaceae.
UCGGCGCAGCGAAAGCGAGCCUGCCCCGGGCGUUCCGUUCGUCGGACUAGACCCGAACCCAAGUGAUCUAGCCAUGAGCAGGUUGCCGGUAAGGUAACACUUACUGGAGGACCGAACCCGCAUCUGUUGCAAUAGAUUGGGAUGACUUGUGGCUAGGGGUGAAAGGCCAAUCAAACUCGGAGAUAGCUGGUUCUCCGCGAAAUCUAUUUAGGUAGAGCGUCGACCGAAUACCUCAGGGG